RNAcentral lists this transfer-messenger RNA (371 nucleotides) under Atopobiaceae. RNAcentral describes it as "Olegusella sp002407925 Standard tmRNA". It matches the Rfam family "transfer-messenger RNA". Rfam says of the family: Bacterial tmRNA, also known as 10Sa RNA or SsrA, is named for its dual tRNA and mRNA-like properties. Its role is to liberate the mRNA from a stalled ribosome. To accomplish this part of the tmRNA is used as a reading frame that ends in a translation stop signal. RNAcentral also lists the same sequence under 3 other names. The record is from RNAcentral. Lineage: Bacteria; Bacillati; Actinomycetota; Coriobacteriia; Coriobacteriales.
GGGGGCGACUGGUUUCGACAGGGUAGCUCUGAGACGGGCAGCAGGCCGUGGUCUCCUCGCCACGUUAAACAGGGGUACUGUCAAAUUGAAUUGACAACGAUUCUUCUUAUGAGCCAGCUACUCUGGCUCUCGCUGCUUAAUUAAAAAGUAGCGCGUCAAUCUAGGGGCUUCUCCCGACUCUAGUGCGACGUCAUCUAGGGAGAUGCACGCGCGGACGUAGCUGGUAUGCCGCUCGCUAAGAAUGAACCAACUGGAACGCCAAGCGCUGGUCAAUGCGUGCGAGGCGUUUGAGAUCUAAGCAUAGACUGAGCCUGGAGACACCUAUCAGGGGGUUAUCUUGGACCGGAGUUCGAUUCUCCGCGCCUCCACCA